Molecule: transfer RNA, 77 nt
Filed under: Christensenellaceae bacterium
Lineage: Bacteria; Bacillati; Bacillota; Clostridia; Christensenellales; Christensenellaceae
Description: tRNA-Ile
Rfam family: tRNA
About the family: Transfer RNA (tRNA) molecules are approximately 80 nucleotides in length. Their secondary structure includes four short double-helical elements and three loops (D, anti-codon, and T loops).
Source: RNAcentral
GGGCUGAUAGCUCAGCUGGUUAGAGCACGCGUCUGAUAAGCGCGAGGCCGGUGGUUCGAGUCCACCUCCGCCCACCA